AGCGAACGCUGGCGGCAGGCCUAACACAUGCAAGUCGAGCGGGAACCCAGGAUGUGUUAGCGCCCGAGGGGGGAGUGACGCGUACGAACGUGCCCUUCGGUUCGUAAUACCUCUGGGUAAGUUGUACUAAUACCGAAUAUGUGCGAAUGCAGAAUAGGUCAUCUGCGGAAGGAUCGGCGCUCGUCUGACUAGCUGGUAGGGUAGGAUACGGCUCAUCAAGGCGACGAUCGGUAGCUGGGGUGAGAGGAUGACCAGCGACACUGGGACUGAGACACGGCCCAGACUCCUACGGGAAGCAGCAGUGGGGAAUAUUGGACAAUGGGGGGAACCCUGAUCCAGCCAGGCCGCGUGAGUGAUGAUGGCCUGAGGGUAGUAAAGCUCUUUUAUCCGGGACGAUAAUGACGGUACCGGAGGAAUAAGCACCGGCUAACUUCGUG
RNAcentral lists this ribosomal RNA (437 nucleotides) under uncultured bacterium. Its description in RNAcentral is "partial 16S ribosomal RNA". It matches the Rfam family "Bacterial small subunit ribosomal RNA", at positions 29 to 507 of the family's 1533-position model. The record is from RNAcentral.